This 468-nucleotide ribosomal RNA is filed under the name uncultured bacterium. Its description in RNAcentral is "partial 16S ribosomal RNA". It matches the Rfam family "Bacterial small subunit ribosomal RNA", at positions 28 to 507 of the family's 1533-position model. The record is from RNAcentral.
GACGAACGCUGGCGGCGUGCCUAACACAUGCAAGUCGAACGGAAAGGCCCUGCUUUUGUGGGGUGCUCGAGUGGCGAACGGGUGAGUAACACGUGAGUAACCUGCCCUUGACUUUGGGAUAACUUCAGGAAACUGGGGCUAAUACCGGAUAGGAGCUCCUGCUGCAUGGUGGGGGUUGGAAAGUUUCGGCGGUUGGGGAUGGACUGGCGGCUUAUCAGCUUGUUGGUGGGGUAGUGGCUUACCAAGGCUUUGACGGGUAGUCGGCAUGAGAGGGUGACCGGGGACAAUGGGACUAAGGGAGGGACCAGACGGCAACGGGGGACAACAGGGGAAAAUAUUACACAGUGAGCCGAAGCCUGAUACGAAGGCGCCGGGUGCGUAAAGACGGCCUUCGGGGUGUGAACCGCUUUAGCCUGUGACGAAGCGUGAGUGACGGUAAUGAGUAAAGAAGCACCGGCUAACUACGUG